GUUGUGUUGUUAUGUGUUGUGUUGUAAUUUGUCGUGUGUUUUGUUUUGUAAUGCGUGCAAGAUUGAAUGGAAAACAAGAAGGAAACGGAGAAACGGUAUUUUUAAUACACAAAAU
This 115-nucleotide non-coding RNA is filed under the name Pseudo-nitzschia pungens. Lineage: Eukaryota; Bacillariophyta; Bacillariophyceae; Bacillariales; Bacillariaceae. The record is from RNAcentral.